This is a non-coding RNA of Oryctolagus cuniculus (rabbit), 485 nucleotides long. The record is from RefSeq and is a predicted model, not a curated record. Lineage: Eukaryota; Metazoa; Chordata; Mammalia; Lagomorpha; Leporidae.
UAAAGGGGACGCGCGCCUGUGCAGGCGCGGCUGGGCUCGGGGCCCCACUCCGUUCCUAAAGACCCGGACGCCUCCCUAACUUUGCCCUGCCGGGUUUCCGGCCUCCCUUGGAGUGCCAGCGAUUUCCUUUAGUUUUUGAAACGGCACUCCCUUCUGAGGGUUGGUUGUUGGUUUUUUUUUUUUCCCCCUUCCAGGGAGCAUAAGAGCUUCACAGACUUAUUGUAUGAAAAAGUCUAAGAGGAAAAUAGAAAUUAAGUCAUGGCAUCGCUCAGAAUUUUAAGAUUGGCGUUGGAAGUCUCGCAAGAGGAUGCGGCUUAUGCAAGGAGGGCCCGAAGAUGUUGCCUUUCUGGGGAGGGUCUUUAAAAUGAGGAAGAAGAUUCACAGCAACCAACUACUCCUCAUUAUUGGAAAUAGAUACGUAAAGUGACCUUCUAUCAGGAGAAUACAAAGUUAAACGCUGAGAAUAUUAAAUACUUCGAAAACAC